Molecule: ribosomal RNA, 260 nt
Filed under: uncultured bacterium
Lineage: Bacteria
Description: partial 16S ribosomal RNA
Rfam family: Bacterial small subunit ribosomal RNA
Source: RNAcentral
UACGUAGGGGGGCAAGCGUUGUCCGGAUUUAUUGGGCGUAAAGAGCGUGUAGGCGGCCUGAAAGGUCAGCUGUGAAAACUCGGGGGCUCAACCCCGAGACGUCGGUUGAAACCAUCUGGCUAGAGUCCGGAAGAGGAGUGUGGAAUUCCCGGUGUAGCGGUGAAAUGCGCAGAUAUCGGGGAAGAACACCCCGGUGGCGAAGGCGGCACUCUGGGACGGUACUGACGCGUGAGACGCGAAAAGCGUGGGGAGCGAACAGG